GAGAUACAAAAAUUUAAGCUUCUAACUUAAUUAAUAGCAUUAGUGUUAAUAUCUCU
RNAcentral lists this transfer RNA (56 nucleotides) under Nephus oblongosignatus. RNAcentral's name for it is "tRNA-Ser". The record is from RNAcentral. Lineage: Eukaryota; Metazoa; Arthropoda; Insecta; Coleoptera; Coccinellidae.